GAAAUAAAAUAAGGCUCGGUACCUUGUCGAUUUGUGGUCGAAGCAGUUAACGAAAGAGAGAGAAGUGAUAAGGCCGACGACGGAUGCAGAAUUGGAGAGUGGAGAGAGCCGUCAGCCGUGUGAGGGUUGUGGUGGAGAAGACCGGAGAUGGUCGGCGANGCUGCUUGUGAUAUCAAUCUGACUGAACUAUCCUCUGAUAGUAAGAAAGAGAGAUAUCAUCUCUAUCGUUGCAAACACGACUGAAGCCCUUACGUGGAUCAGUUAAGUUCUAGUGACUUAACUGAUAACUCUUUACUGAAGAGCUUUCAGUAUCAGUCGUCAACCCUGUUGGUCAAAACUAAUUUCGGUUAAACAGGUGUCUGGUUUGCAUGCAUAGUUUCUUUUCUAUCUCUGACUGAGAUCCCUCUGAUUGAGGUCGGUAGAUAGUCAAAAAUAGCCUAUAGGUGUAUUCCCCCCCCCAUACACCUAUUCGAGACCCCCCGGACCUAACAAAGAUCUUACUUGCAGGCAUUUUUUUGCUAAUUUUUCAUGUGAUUGUUAAGUGAAGCAGUACCAUUCUUACUCGAAUCACUACAAAAAACCCUAGUACAAUGUAUGCACCUAGCUUUCGUACUAUUAUCAUCUGGAUCAACAAAAGGUUGAAAAUGUUCCCAACAUUCUGACCUUUUUGCCAUAGCUCUUCGUUUCUUAGUUUUACCGGCCGGAAGGGGAUUUUCAACUGGAGGUGCAGCUUGAGUAGUAUCAUCUCCUGAUUUUUCAUUUGCUUGAGACAUCUGCAAAAAUUAAACAUAUCCUAAAUUGCAUCAUCGACAAUUAAACAAUUAAAGAUUUACACAUAACAAUCUAAGAACUUACACUGCAACUAGCUGUUGAAGAAUCUAUGAUGAAAGAGAAGAAGAGAUAGUGCGGGGCCUGUGGGCUGUUGUCGAACCAAUUAAUGAGAGAGAAAUAAAAUAAGGCUCGGUACCUUGUCGAUUUGUGGUCGAAGCAGUUAACGAAAGAGAGAGAAGUGAUAAGGCCGACGACGGAUGCAGAAUUGGAGAGUGGAGAGAGCCGUCAGCCGUGUGAGGGUUGUGGUGGAGAAGACCGGAGAUGGUCGGCGACUUGGCGGCGCCGCGGCGGCUGAGACUAGGGCUGAAAUUGAAUUGGAGGAAUGGAGAUUGGAGAAGCAGAAAGGUUGGCUGC
This 1185-nucleotide long non-coding RNA is filed under the name Salvia miltiorrhiza (redroot sage). RNAcentral's name for it is "long non-coding RNA (SMIL_LNC009096)". The record is from RNAcentral. Lineage: Eukaryota; Viridiplantae; Streptophyta; Magnoliopsida; Lamiales; Lamiaceae.